GACGAACGCUGGCGGCGUGCCUAAUACAUGCAAGUUGAGCGCUGAAGGUUGGUACUUGUACCAACUGGAUGAGCAGCGAACGGGUGAGUAACGCGUGGGGAAUCUGCCUUUGAGCGGGGGACAACAUUUGGAAACGAAUGCUAAUACCGCAUAAAAACUUUAAACACAAGUUUUAAGUUUGAAAGAUGCAAUUGCAUCACUCAAAGAUGAUCCCGCGUUGUAUUAGCUAGUUGGUGAGGUAAAGGCUCACCAAGGCGAUGAUACAUAGCCGACCUGAGAGGGUGAUCGGCCACAUUGGGACUGAGACACGGCCCAAACUCCUACGGGAGGCAGCAGUAGGGAAUCUUCGGCAAUGGACGAAAGUCUGACCGAGCAACGCCGCGUGAGUGAAGAAGGUUUUCGGAUCGUAAAACUCUGUUGGUGGAGAAGAACGUUGGUGAGAGUAGAAAGCUCAUCAAGUGACGGUAACUACCCAGAAAGGGACGGCUAACUACGUG
RNAcentral lists this ribosomal RNA (497 nucleotides) under uncultured bacterium. RNAcentral's name for it is "partial 16S ribosomal RNA". It matches the Rfam family "Bacterial small subunit ribosomal RNA", at positions 28 to 507 of the family's 1533-position model. The record is from RNAcentral.